UUUUAUGCGUCAGAGUUGGUUUCAACCGAUUGUGUGCACUAGAACAAUUCUGACAAAGAGCUUCAAGGCAUUCGCAGCUCAAGACAAUAGAAAAAUGUGAUUGAUAUAGCUGUUUGACGUUAUAUAUAUACAACGCAUAUAGAGUGCUGGAUUUUUUCGCUGGGUUAUACUAGACCAUCGCUAGUCUAAAGCUGUUUUCUGCUCUUUGGUCGGUUUGUUGUCUCUUUGACACAUUCCACGUUUUCAUAACAUGUGAUGGAGCAACGACUUUUUUUUUA
Molecule: long non-coding RNA, 278 nt
Filed under: Mytilus galloprovincialis (Mediterranean mussel)
Lineage: Eukaryota; Metazoa; Mollusca; Bivalvia; Mytilida; Mytilidae
Source: RNAcentral